This 602-nucleotide ribosomal RNA is filed under the name uncultured Acidobacteriota bacterium. RNAcentral's name for it is "bacterial SSU rRNA". It matches the Rfam family "Bacterial small subunit ribosomal RNA", at positions 8 to 589 of the family's 1533-position model. The record is from RNAcentral. Lineage: Bacteria; Pseudomonadati; Acidobacteriota.
AGAGUUUGAUCAUGGCUCAGAAUCAACGCUGCGGCGUGCCUCAGACAUGCAAGUCGAACGCGAAAGUCCCCUUCGGGGGGCAAGUAGAGUGGCGCACGGGUGAGUAACACGUAGGUAAUCUACCUUUGGAUUGGGAAUAACCACCGGAAACGGUGGCUAAUACCGAAUAAUGCAGCGGCACCUAAUGGUGACAGUUGUUAAAGCGGGGGAUCGAAAGACCUCGCGUCUGAAGAGGAGCCUGCGGUAGAUUAGCUAGUUGGUAAGGUAGCGGCUUACCAAGGCGAUGAUCUGUAGCCGGCCUGAGAGGGCGGUCGGCCACACUGACACUGACAUACGGGUCAGACUCCUACGGGAGGCAGCAGUCGGGAAUUUUGGGCAAUGGGCGAAAGCCUGACCCAGCAACGCCGCGUGAAGGAUGAAAUCCUUCGGGAUGUAAACUUCGCAAGAACGGGAAGAAUAAGUAAGGGUUAAUAUCUCUUACGAUGACGGUACUGUUUGUAAGCUCCGGCUAACUCCGUGCCAGCAGCCGCGGUAAUACGGGGGGAGCAAGCGUUGUUCGGAUUUACUGGGCGUAAAGGGCGCGUAGGCGGCCACCGCAAGUC